This 148-nucleotide unclassified non-coding RNA is filed under the name uncultured fungus. RNAcentral's name for it is "sequence contains ITS1". Lineage: Eukaryota; Fungi. The record is from RNAcentral.
ACAAAUCAAAUUGUGGUGAUGGUAUGUAUGUGUAGUGUUGGGUUCAACGCUAUAUCACGCACACCUAACAUUUGUGCUCCAGGCAUUUCGUCUGGGUGCAACAUUAAUUCAUUAUUGUCAGUUGUUUGUCUAUUUUAAAUUUAUAAUC